CAGGCCUAACACAUGCAAGUCGAAGGGGCGUCAGCAAUGGCGUCACUGGCGCACGGGUGCGGAACACGUUUGAAAUCUGCCCUGAACUGGAGGAUAGCCCGCCGAAAGGCGGAUUAAUACUGCAUAUGCCAAUGAGGUGGCAUCACCUAGUUGGGAAAGACGCGAGUCGGUUCGGGAUGAUCAUGCGGCUGAUUAGCUAGUUGGCGGGGUAGUGGCCCACCAAGGCGACGAUCAGUAGGGGACCUGAGAGGGCGAUCCCCCACACUGGUACUGAGACACGGACCAGACUCCUACGGGAGGCAGCAGUAAGGAAUAUUGGUCAAUGGACGCAAGUCUGAACCAGCCAUGCCGCGUGCAGGAAGACGGCCCUACGGGUUGUAAACUGCUUUUGUACCGGAAUAAACCCUUUUACGUGUAAGAGGCUGAAUGUACGGUAAGAAUAAGGAUCGGCUAACUCCGUGCCAGCAGCCGCGGUAAU
This 478-nucleotide ribosomal RNA is filed under the name uncultured bacterium. RNAcentral describes it as "bacterial SSU rRNA". It matches the Rfam family "Bacterial small subunit ribosomal RNA", at positions 43 to 524 of the family's 1533-position model. The record is from RNAcentral.